Molecule: ribosomal RNA, 610 nt
Filed under: Xylodon magallanesii
Lineage: Eukaryota; Fungi; Basidiomycota; Agaricomycetes; Hymenochaetales; Schizoporaceae
Description: partial large subunit ribosomal RNA
Rfam family: Eukaryotic large subunit ribosomal RNA
Source: RNAcentral
UUCCAUCUAAAGCUAAAUAUUGGCGAGAGACCGAUAGCGAACAAGUACCGUGAGGGAAAGAUGAAAAGCACUUUGGAAAGAGAGUUAAACAGUACGUGAAAUUGUUGAAAGGGAAACGCUUGAAGUCAGUCGCGUUGUCUGAGACUCAGCCUUGCUUGCUUGGUGUACUUCUCAGUUGACGGGUCAACAUCAAUUUUGGUUGGUGGAUAAAGGCGGGGGGAAUGUGGCACCUUCGGGUGUGUUAUAGCCCUUUGUUGCAUACACUGACUGGGAUUGAGGAACGCAGCACGCCUUCAAUGGCCGGGGGUUCGCCUCACGUAACGUGCUUAGGAUGUUGGCAUAAUGGCUUUAAGCGACCCGUCUUGAAACACGGACCAAGGAGUCUAACAUGCUCGCGAGUGUUAGGGUGGAAAACCCUUGCGCGUAAUGAAAGUGAAAGUUGGGACCCUUUGCGGGGGCACCGACGCCCGGCCCUGAAGUAUUCUGACGGUGCUGCGGUAGAGCGCGUAUGUUGGGACCCGAAAGAUGGUGAACUAUGCCUGAAUAGGGUGAAGCCAGGGGAAACUCUGGUGGAGGCUCGUAGCGAUUCUGACGUGCAAAUCGAUCGUCA